Molecule: long non-coding RNA, 630 nt
Filed under: Ananas comosus (pineapple)
Lineage: Eukaryota; Viridiplantae; Streptophyta; Magnoliopsida; Poales; Bromeliaceae
Description: long non-coding RNA (ACOM_LNC029940)
Source: RNAcentral
AAACAGGAGGAAUGUAAGAUAUAUAUAUAUAUAUAUAUAUAGAGAGAGAGAGAGAGAGAGAGAGAGUAGGGCUACUAUACUCUUAUGAGUAUAGAAUCCUUACUAUUCAUAAGUUGUUUUCGAUGUUUGAGUUUUCGAAUCGACGAUCCACACCGUUAAACAUGAUCUAGAGUAUUUGAAAUUUCUAGAAAAUAAAUUUUAUAAAUUUUCGAAAUCAUUAUAAAGUCCAUCAAGUGAGUAUAAAAUGAACGGUUAAAAUCGAAUGACAUCCUAAAAAUGGAUGAUCGGAUCUUUAAAUUUAAGAUCGGAGUUAUUGAUCUUUAUAUUUAGGUAGUGAAUAAAAUUUUCUAUUAAAAAUUCAACCUAUUUUGAUUCUUUUUCACCGUUAAACUAGCAAGUAUCUUAUACCGGCCGUUAAAAAUUGACAAUUUUGUGACCUUUUGAUCGUAAGGCAAAUGAUGUCGAAAAAUUAUAAAAUUUAAUUUUUAAAAGUUUUAAAUGCUCUAGAUAAUGUUUAACGGUAUGAAUUGUCGAUUAGGAAGCUCUAUCAUCGAAAUCAACUUAUGAGUAUAAGGGCGAUCGUACUCAUAAGAGUAUAGUAGCCAGACUAUAUAUAUAUAUAUAUAUAUA